CCCAACCCUCCUCCCCAACCGUCGCCGUAGCCCCCACAACCAAGCCAGCCAACCCCGAGCCCCUCCGCCCACGACCGCAACUUCCACCGCCGACUCCCUCGGCCGCAGGUUUCCACCAUCCUUGUCCUUGCCAAGGUCGACGGCGAGCACCACCUGUUCCCUGCGCCUAUUGCCGCUCCUCUGCUCCUUGGUCCUCGCACGAGCUCACGCGCAGCAUGUACGCAACACUCCCCCAUGGCGUCGUCGCCACGGCCUAUCCUCAGCGCCGCCCCUGCUGCUGGCCCUCACCGGCCGAGCGCCUCGCUGAUGGUCCGCCGCCCGACCUCCUUCAGCCUCUGUGCCCAUGGACGGCUUCCACCCCACAUCUUUGGUCAUCGAUGCCUCGCCUAGCCUGCGCCACGGCUCGUGGCCACUGCACCACCACCGCGUCGUAGGUUCCCCGUCCUUGCCCUAGGUCGCUGGCCUUGUUCUUCCUUGUCCAAGAGAUCUCGCCCAGCAUUGCCCCAGAUCUCGGCCAGCUCUUAAGCCUCCUCCAUCGCCUGUUGCUGCUUUGCUCCUCUGGCGGCCGCAGCAAGAACCAUUCCUGCUAUUGGCUCUCUCCUCCACUGACUACCAGCCAGAAAAAUCCAUCGCAAGGUAAGUCUCUCAUGAUGCAUUCUUUUUUUUGGCAGCAUGAUGUAUGUAUCGAUUGUAUGAGCCAGAAAAAACAUUUGAAUUGAAUUGAUGUAUGUACAGGAGCUUGGGGUCAUCUCUCAUGCAAUGUAUUUGAUUUGUUUUUUAUGUAUGACUGUAUGACAGAUUGACCCUCUCCCACGUCUGCAUUUUUUAAUUAUAGAUCUAAUUAACGAAUACAAUUAGUUUCUUUGGGAUGAUGCACCUAAAUACAGUCAAGUCUGCAGUGAUUAGAAAUUUUGGAUGCUUUGGGGCAUUUUCAGAUGAUCUAAUGUGCCUAUUCAGUUUAUGAAAAAGAAUAAUGUGCCUAUUUAGACCAGUUAUAACAGGAAUGUGUAUUAAGUGUAAAUAUCAAGGAACCACAACUGUUUGGGCAUAGGUUCUAGAAAACACAAUUUUUAGCGAAAACAAAUCACUUAACUGCAACAAUUGGGGCGGAGACCUCGAGCUAGCUAUCCUGGUGCAGGGGUUGCAUCGCUGCUUCAUCUCGUCCUUGACAGAACUACUCCACUUAGGCAACUAAAAACCCAUAAGGCACAUACUUGGUCUUUCUUCUACUUCAAGCACCUCUACUUUGAGCACGUUGCUCAGUCCAAGGCAAGUUCUUUGUCCAAUUUUCUGCUUACAAAUCCUGUCUAAUAUUUUAAACCAUUAUACUGUGUUAUGUGCAUGUGGGGGAGAGGAUGUGAAUGGAUCUGAGGAGCAGCAAGUUUACAUGGGUGGAUUUCUGCAGUGGAGCUCUUAUUUGAGCCUGAUACACUAUACUCUGGUGGCUAGUACUGUGGUUUGAGUCAUGUUCAGCACUCAUGUGAAGGUGAAUAUCUUCGGAAAUAAGAAUGACCCAGGCAGGAUAAUGUGACAUGGAUGACUGAUUAGAAGAUGCAAUGGCAGCGGGCGUGAAGUAAGAAAAAGAGCAGAGAGUGUUAGAAGAAAUAAUGAGGUGAUAAGGUCUCUAAAUGUUCUUUAUCUCACGGAAGUUAUAAUGUGCUAUGUAGCCAAAAUUUUAACAAAUAUAUAUGUGCAUGUACUCUAGGUUGGCCAUUUGAAACAUGUUCGAGAACAUGUUAUUAGAGUUAAAUGUUUAUUAAUAAAUUUCAUUGCUUCAGUGUACUCUUUUUGAUGAACUCUGAUAGUGAUUAUUGCCUUUCCACCUACAGAUCAUUUUAGGACUUUAGAAUUUUGACAGGAGCAAUGUUGGAUCUGCUGUCAUAGAUGUACAUACCGUGUGGUACAUUUUUUUCAUGCUCUAUUACUGUUUAGCUCUUGCACAUAUGUGAAAUAAUGUUUAGUUCUGAUUUGGUUUGAUGGAUGACAAGUGAGACCUAAAUCAAACAAUCAUGGACAUGGGUUUCUUGAAACAUAUCUGAAUUUUAGUUCUGAGUUCUUCGCAUGUUACACACAUAGGGAAGUAGAAGAAAAUUUGGUUAUAUCAUGUGUUAGGGGAUGUUCUAUGUGCAACUAGCUAUUCCUAAAUUGGUCCAAGACUUCAUUUUCUUCAAGCAUGAAUAAGAAGAAACAAUUAAAAUGGUGAGUGGAGAGAUUGAUGCUGUGAUGCAGCUGAUGCUACUCCUUUUCCCGUCCUCUGCUUUGGUGAUCCUCCUCUACACGCUAUGCUGGUGGUGCUGCUGCCGAGCUGCCCCUCUUCUCCUCAGCAUUAUAAACAAGGCCUUGAACACAUCUCCUGAAGGUUUGACAAGAUCUUGAAGGUGCUGGAGGUUUGGCAAGAUCUGCAAGGCGUCCAUACUUAAUUUUUCUGCUCAUUUUGCUGCUUAUUUUAGCACAUAAGCCGAUGUAUGCUCAUUUUGGAUGUGUAACACAUCUAGGAAUAUGUCUUUUUUUCACUUUUGUGGCACAACAUCCUUAAUGUAUCAAGAAACAUGUAUGGUCGUUUAUGAAUGAAAUGAAACUUAAGGUUU
This is a long non-coding RNA of Triticum aestivum (bread wheat), 2588 nucleotides long. RefSeq lists it as uncharacterized. The record is from RefSeq and is a predicted model, not a curated record. NCBI's taxonomy places the organism in Eukaryota, Viridiplantae, Streptophyta, Magnoliopsida, Poales, Poaceae. The transcript is spliced from 3 exons.